AGGGCGCAUGGUGAAUGCCUUGGCAUCAGGAGCCGAUGAAGGACGUGAUAAGCUGCGAUAAGCUUCGGGUAGGCGCACAUAGCCUGAGAUCCGAAGAUCUCCGAAUGAGGAAACUCACAUGGGAAACCCCAUGUAUCAUUAAGUGAAUACAUAGCUUAAUGAAGGUAACCCAGGGAACUGAAACAUCUAAGUACCUGGAGGAAGAGAAAGAAAAAUCGAUUUUCUUAGUAGCGGCGAGCGAAAGGGAAAGAGCCCAAACCGGAAACUUGUUUCCGGGGUUGUGGACAUAACAUAAAAGUGGAGGCUAUUGUAACUGAAGAGAACUGGAAAGUUCCACCGUAGAAGGUAAUAGUCCUGUAAGUGAAACGAGAAGACCACGAGUUAUGAUCCAGAGUACCACGAGACACGUGAAACCUUGUGGGAAGCAGGGAGGACCACCUCCCAAGGCUAAAUACUACCUGAUGACCGAUAGUGAAGCAGUACCGUGAGGGAAAGGUGAAAAGAACCCCGGGAGGGGAGUGAAAUAGAACCUGAAACCGUGUGCCUACAACCGCUCAGAGCCCCUUAUGAGGGUGAUGAGGUGCUUUUUGUAGAACGAGCCAACGAGUUACGGUAUGUAGCAAGGUUAAGUACUUAAGGUACGGAGCCGAAGGGAAACCGAGUCUGAAUAGGGCGACUAGUUGCAUGCCGUAGACCCGAAACCGGGUGACCUAUCCAUGGCCAGGUUGAAGCGAGGGUAAAACCUCGUGGAGGACCGAACCACGUUGCUGUUGAAAAAGCAUGGGAUGAGCUGUGGAUAGCGGAGAAAUUCCAAUCGAACCCGGAGAUAGCUGGUUCUCUCCGAAAUAGCUUUAGGGCUAGCGUCGAGUAUGAGUAGUGGAGGUAGAGCACUGAAUGGGCUAGGGGGCAUAGCGCUUACCGAACCUUAUCAAACUCCGAAUGCCACAUACUUUGAGCUCGGCAGUCAGACUACGAAUGAUAAGAUCCGUGGUCAAAAGGGAAACAGCCCAGAUCGUCAGCUAAGGUCCCAAAGUGUAAGUUAAGUGGGAAAGGAUGUGAGAUUUCUAAGACAACUAGGAUGUUGGCUUAGAAGCAGCCAUUCAUUAAAAGAGUGCGUAAUAGCUCACUAGUCGAGAGAUCUUGCGCCGAAAAUGUAACGGGGCUAAACUUACCACCGAAGCUACGGGCUUGAACUUAGUUCAAGCGGUAGGAGAGCGUCGUAACCGGGCUGAAGUCGUACCGUAAGGAGCGGUGGACUGGUUACGAGUGAGAAUGUUGGCAUCAGUAGCGAGAUGUGGGUGAGAAUCCCACAGGCCGAAAACCUAAGGUUUCCUCAGGAAGGUUCGUCCGCUGAGGGUUAGUCGGGACCUAAGCCGAGGCCGAAAGGCGUAGGUGAUGGACAACUGGUUGAUAUUCCAGUACCACUACCAUCGUUAUUAUCGAUGGCGUGACGCAGGAGGAUAGUGUGUGCUAGCUAUUGGAUGCUAGUCUAAGCGUUUAGGCAGUGAGAGUAGGCAAAUCCGCUCUCAUAAUGCUGAGGCGUGAUGGGGAAGGUUCUACGGAACCGAAGUACAUGAUUCCACGCUGCCAAGAAAAGCGUCUAGAGAGAGAAGUAGUGCCCGUACCGCAAACCGACACAGGUAGGUGAGGAGAGAAUCCUAAGGCCGGCGGAAGAAUUACAGUUAAGGAACUCGGCAAAUUGACCCCGUAAGUUCGCGAGAAGGGGUGCCUACGAGAGUAGGCCGCAGAGAAUAGGCCCAAGCAACUGUUUAGCAAAAACACAGGUCUCUGCUAAAGCGUAAGCUGAUGUAUAGGGGCUGACGCCUGCCCGGUGCUGGAAGGUUAAGGGGAACACUUAGCGCAAGCGAAGGUGUGAACUUAAGCCCCAGUAAACGGCGGCCGUAACUAUAACGGUCCUAAGGUAGCGAAAUUCCUUGUCAGGUAAGUUCUGACCCGCACGAAUGGCGUAAUGACUUGGGCACUGUCUCAACUGUAAAUCCGGCGAAGUUGUAGUGCGAGUGAAGAUGCUCGCUACCCGCGAUUGGACGGAAAGACCCCGUAGAGCUUUACUGUAGCUUAGCAUUGAGUUUUGGUAUUGUCUGUACAGGAUAGGUGGGAGACUAGGAAACCAGGGCGUCAGCCUUGGUGGAGUCAACCUUGGGAUACCACCCUGACAGUACUGAAAUUCUAACUGGCGGCCAUGAAUCUGGUCACAGGACAUUGUUAGGUGGGCAGUUUGACUGGGGCGGUCGCCUCCUAAAAAGUAACGGAGGCGCCCAAAGGUUCCCUCAGAACGGUCGGAAAUCGUUCGAAGAGUGCAAAGGCAGAAGGGAGCCUGACUGCGACACCCACAAGUGGAGCAGGGACGAAAGUCGGGCUUAGUGAUCCGGUGGUACCUCGUGGGAGGGCCAUCGCUCAACGGAUAAAAGCUACCUCGGGGAUAACAGGCUGAUCUCCCCCAAGAGUCCACAUCGACGGGGAGGUUUGGCACCUCGAUGUCGGCUCGUCGCAUCCUGGGGCUGUAGUCGGUCCCAAGGGUUGGGCUGUUCGCCCAUUAAAGCGGCACGCGAGCUGGGUUCAGAACGUCGUGAGACAGUUCGGUCCCUAUCCGUCGCGGGCGUAGGAAAUUUGAGAGGAGCUGUCCUUAGUACGAGAGGACCGGGAUGGACUGACCUCUGGUGUACCAGUUGUUCCGCCAGGAGCACAGCUGGGUAGCUAAGUCGGGAAUGGAUAAACGCUGAAAGCAUCUAAGCGUGAAGCCAACCUCAAGAUGAGAUUUCCCAUAGCGUAAGCUAGUAAGAUCCCUUGA
This 2809-nucleotide ribosomal RNA is filed under the name human gut metagenome. RNAcentral's name for it is "bacterial LSU rRNA". It matches the Rfam family "Bacterial large subunit ribosomal RNA". The record is from RNAcentral.